AACGAACGCUGGCGGCGUGGAUAAGACAUGCAAGUCGAACGGGAGUUUGUUUAUAGCAAUAUGAGUGAACUCUAGUGGCGAAAGGGUGCGUAACACGUAGCUACCUACCUCGAAGUUGGGAUAGCUCGGCGAAAGCCGGAUUAAUACCGAAUGUGAUCGUAAGAUCAAAGCUGGGGAUCGUAAGACCUGGCGCUUUGAGAUGGGGCUGCGGCCUAUCAGCUAGNGGCGGGGUAACGGCCCACCAAGGCUUAGACGGGUAGCUGGUCUGAGAGGACGACCAGCCACACUGGAACUGAGACACGGUCCAGACUCCUACGGGAGGCAGCAGUGGGGAAUCUUGCGCAAUGGGCGAAAGCCUGACGCAGCGACGCCG
This 373-nucleotide ribosomal RNA is filed under the name uncultured bacterium. RNAcentral's name for it is "bacterial SSU rRNA". It matches the Rfam family "Bacterial small subunit ribosomal RNA", at positions 29 to 399 of the family's 1533-position model. The record is from RNAcentral.